This 898-nucleotide ribosomal RNA is filed under the name uncultured bacterium. Its description in RNAcentral is "bacterial SSU rRNA". It matches the Rfam family "Bacterial small subunit ribosomal RNA", at positions 21 to 905 of the family's 1533-position model. The record is from RNAcentral.
GGCUCAGAACGAACGCUGGCGGCGCGUUUUAAGCAUGCAAGUCGAACGGCAAGCACUGUAGCAAUAUGGUGCUGAGAGUGGCGAACGGGUGAGUAACACGUAGGUGAUCUACCCUUGGGUGGGGGAUAGUCCGUGGAAACACGGGGUAAUACCGCAUGAGGCCUCGUGGAUAGAGCCAUGAGGUGAAAGGUGCAAUUGCACCGUCUGGGGAUGAGCCUGCGCUCCAUUAGGUAGUUGGCGGGGUAAGAGCCCACCAAGCCCACGAUGGAUAGCCGGCCUGAGAGGGUGUACGGCCACACUGGAACUGAGACACGGUCCAGACUCCUACGGGAGGCAGCAGCUAAGAAUCUUCCGCAAUGGGGGAAACCCUGACGGAGCGACGCCGCGUGGACGAUGGAGGCCGUAAGGUUGUAAAGUCCUUUUGCAGGUGAAGAAUAACUGGGGGAGUGGAAAGCCCCUGGGAUGACGUUAGCCUGCGAAUAAGCCCCGGCUAAUUACGUGCCAGCAGCCGCGGUAAUACGUAUGGGGCAAGCGUUGUUCGGAGUUAUUGGGCGUAAAGGGCGUGUAGGCGGCUCAUCAAGUCUGGUGUGAAAUCGCGGGGCUCAACCCCGCGUAUGCGCUGGAAACUGGUGGGCUUGAGUUCUUGAGGGGAAGCUGGAAUUCCAGGUGUAGGGGUGAAAUCUGUAGAUAUCUGGAAGAACACCGGUGGCGAAGGCGAGCUUCUAUCAGAGGACUGACGCUGAGGCGCGAAAGCGUGGGGAGCAAACAGGAUUAGAUACCCUGGUAGUCCACGCUGUAAACGAUGUGCACUAGGCGUGGGGCACGUACGUGUUCUGUGCCGUAGCUAACGUGAUAAGUGCACCGCCUGGGGAGUAUGCUCGCAAGGGUGAAACUCAAG